RNAcentral lists this long non-coding RNA (345 nucleotides) under Rattus norvegicus (Norway rat). RNAcentral's name for it is "long non-coding RNA NONRATT028411". The record is from RNAcentral. Lineage: Eukaryota; Metazoa; Chordata; Mammalia; Rodentia; Muridae.
UUGUUAUCUUAUUCCUUUCUGCUCUUUGACGCUGGUGAGGAAGCAUCGCUGAACGCUCUCAUCAUCCUAUCGUCAUGUCUAAGUCAGAGAUUCCAUGGAACCGGAACAGGUGCGGAAGCUCUUCAUUGGAGGGCUGAGCUUCGAAACAACCGACGAGAGUCUGAGGAGCCAUUUUGAGCAAUGGGGAACACUCACCGACUGUGUGGUAAUGAGAGAUCCAAACACCAAAAGAUCCAGAGGCUUUGGGUUUGUCACAUAUGCCACUGUGGAGGAAGUGGAUGCUGCCAUGAAUGCAAGACCACACAAGGUGGAUGGAAGAGUUGUGGAACCUAAGAGAGCUGUGUC